Vicia faba (fava bean) is the source of this 255-nucleotide non-coding RNA. The record is from the annotation of a GenBank genome assembly. NCBI's taxonomy places the organism in Eukaryota, Viridiplantae, Streptophyta, Magnoliopsida, Fabales, Fabaceae.
AUGCCUCACAUCCAUCACGUUAACCUCAAUCCACCACUCACCGGCCAUACACGAAAACCCAUCUUCACUCUUACCUUGUCCUUUGUGAAAACUGGCGAUUCCGCUCACCUAUCAACACCACCUCGACUUUCAAACAUCCCAUACUUCUCAUUGUUAACCAUCGUCUACCUUCCACCUCAUAAUCUAGCUGAUUCUCUACCCCAAGCUCUCGAUUCGAAGCUCAAAUCACUCUAUUCGAUUCCUCUUCAGAUUUGA